GACGAACGCUGGCGGCGUGCCUAAUACAUGCAAGUCGAGCGAAGUUUUUCUGGUGCUUGCACUAGAAAAACUUAGCGGCGAACGGGUGAGUAACACGUAAAGAACCUGCCUCAUAGACUGGGACAACUAUUGGAAACGAUAGCUAAUACCGGAUAACAGUAUUUCUCGCAUGGGAGAUAUUUAAAAGUUGGUUAUGCUAACACUAUGAGAUGGCUUUGCGGUGCAUUAGCUAGUUGGUGGGGUAAAGGCCCACCAAGGCGACGAUGCAUAGCCGACCUGAGAGGGUGAUCGGCCACACUGGGACUGAGACACGGCCCAGACUCCUACGGGAGGCAGCAGUAGGGAAUCUUCCGCAAUGGGCGAAAGCCUGACGGAGCAACGCCGCGUGAGUGAAGAAGGAUUUCGGUUCGUAAAGCUCUGUUGUUAGGGAAGAAUGGAUAUGUAGUAACUAUACAUGUAAGAGACGGUACCUAACCAGAAAGCCACGGCUAACUACGUGC
This 500-nucleotide ribosomal RNA is filed under the name uncultured bacterium. RNAcentral's name for it is "partial 16S ribosomal RNA". It matches the Rfam family "Bacterial small subunit ribosomal RNA", at positions 28 to 508 of the family's 1533-position model. The record is from RNAcentral.